This 253-nucleotide ribosomal RNA is filed under the name uncultured bacterium. RNAcentral describes it as "partial 16S ribosomal RNA". It matches the Rfam family "Bacterial small subunit ribosomal RNA", at positions 524 to 776 of the family's 1533-position model. The record is from RNAcentral.
UACGAAGGGGGCUAGCGUUGUUCGGAAUUACUGGGCGUAAAGCGCACGUAGGCGGAUACUUAAGUCAGGGGUGAAAUCCCGGGGCUCAACCCCGGAACUGCCUUUGAUACUGGGUAUCUCGAGUCCGGAAGAGGUGAGUGGAAUUCCGAGUGUAGAGGUGAAAUUCGUAGAUAUUCGGAGGAACACCAGUGGCGAAGGCGGCUCAAUGGUCCGGUACUGACGCUGAGGUGCGAAAGCGUGGGGAGCAAACAGG